UACGUAGGCAGCGAGCGUUGUUCGGAAUUACUGGGCGUAAAGAGUGUGUAGGCGGUGCUCUAAGUCUGUCGUGAAAUCUCCCGGCUCAACUGGGAGGGUGCGCUACAAACUGUCUGACUAGAGUGUGGGAUGGGUAAGUGGAAUUCCUGGUGUAGCGGUGAAAUGCGUAGAUAUCAGGAGGAACACCGGUGGUGUAGACGGCUUACUGGACCAUAACUGACGCUGAGAACACG
Molecule: ribosomal RNA, 233 nt
Filed under: uncultured bacterium
Lineage: Bacteria
Description: partial 16S ribosomal RNA
Rfam family: Bacterial small subunit ribosomal RNA
Source: RNAcentral